GUCCAGACUCCUACGGGAGGCAGCAGUGGGGGAUAUUGCACAAUGGGGGGAACCCUGAUGCAGCGACGCCGCGUGGGUGAAGGAGCGUUUCGGCGCGUAAAGCCCUGUCAGCAGGGAAGAAAAUGACGGUACCUGAAGAAGAAGCCCCGGCUAACUACGUGCCAGCAGCCGCGGUAAUACGUAGGGGGCAAGCGUUAUCCGGAUUUACUGGGUGUAAAGGGAGCGUAGACGGCUGUGCAAGCCAGAUGUGAAAGCCCGGGGCUCAACCCCGGGACUGCAUUUGGAACUGUGUGGCCGGAGUGUCGGAGAGGCAGGCGGAAUUCCUAGUGUAGUGGUGAAAUGCGUAGAUAUUAGGAGGAACACCAGUGGCGAAGGCGGCCUGCUGGACGAUGACUGACGUUGAGGCUCGAAAGCGUGGGGAGCAAACAGGAUUAGAUACCCUCGUACU
Molecule: ribosomal RNA, 448 nt
Filed under: uncultured bacterium
Lineage: Bacteria
Description: bacterial SSU rRNA
Rfam family: Bacterial small subunit ribosomal RNA
Source: RNAcentral